RNAcentral lists this transfer RNA (71 nucleotides) under Pseudolactococcus piscium. RNAcentral describes it as "Lactococcus piscium transfer RNA". It matches the Rfam family "tRNA". Rfam says of the family: Transfer RNA (tRNA) molecules are approximately 80 nucleotides in length. Their secondary structure includes four short double-helical elements and three loops (D, anti-codon, and T loops). Lineage: Bacteria; Bacillati; Bacillota; Bacilli; Lactobacillales; Streptococcaceae. The record is from RNAcentral.
AUCGAGGUAGCUCAAUGGUAGAGCAGUGGAAAUUAGCUUCUUUGUCCUAGGUUCGAAUCCUGGUCUCGGUA